GAUGAAGAACGUAGCGAAAUGCGAUAAGUAAUGUGAAUUGCAGAAUUCAGUGAAUCAUCGAAUCUUUGAACGCACAUUGCGCCCGCCAGUAUUCUGGCGAGCAUGCCUGUUCGGGCGUCAUUUCAACCAUCAAGCCCCAGGCUUGUGUUGGAGCCCUGCGGCUGCCGCAGCCUCCCAAAACCAGUGGCGGGCUCGCUAUCACACCGAGUGCAGUAGUUUACUCUUCGCUCAGGGCGUGUGGCGGGUGCUAGCCGUGAAACCCCCAACUUCUCAAGGUUGACCUCGGAUCAGGUAGGAAUACCCGCUGAACUUAAGCAUAUCAAUAAGCGGAGGA
RNAcentral lists this unclassified non-coding RNA (334 nucleotides) under soil metagenome. RNAcentral describes it as "partial contains 5.8S ribosomal RNA, internal transcribed spacer 2, and large subunit ribosomal RNA". The stretch from base 1 to 120 matches the Rfam family "5.8S ribosomal RNA", at positions 35 to 154 of the family's 154-position model. The record is from RNAcentral.